CCGGAACUAAACCAAAUAAUGGAAAACAGGAACUCAGAAGGGCAGACACGUGACAUACAUAAAUUAUACAUGAAAAUUAUAUGUCGCCUUAGAGGUUCGACACAACCUCAUGGAUGUCUCUGAAAUGCUGAAUGAUGGAAACCCUAAGUUGCUUGUGAUGUACAAGAUCCAAAAGCUUAAACAUACGCUGAUGUCGGUGAAGUCGAGAGAUGAUGCAGCUACACUGAAGCAGAUUUUCCUGCUGCUGAUGCAGUCUUCAGAACCCAAAGCGUCUGACCUCCAGGCCUCCAGUCCUCCACCGGACAUCAACA
This is a long non-coding RNA of Onychostoma macrolepis, 311 nucleotides long. RefSeq lists it as uncharacterized. The record is from RefSeq and is a predicted model, not a curated record. The transcript has 3 exons. Lineage: Eukaryota; Metazoa; Chordata; Actinopteri; Cypriniformes; Cyprinidae.